RNAcentral lists this transfer RNA (61 nucleotides) under Microdiplogynium sp. XFX. RNAcentral's name for it is "tRNA-Gly". The record is from RNAcentral. Lineage: Eukaryota; Metazoa; Arthropoda; Arachnida; Mesostigmata; Diplogyniidae.
AUUUAAUUAGUAUAACAAGUACAUUUAACUUCCAAUUAAAAAGUUUAUUCCAAAUUAAAUA